CCUACGGGGCGCUGCAGUGAGGAAUAUUGGUCAAUGGGCGCGAGUCUGAACCAGCCAAGUAGCGUGAAGGAUGACUGCCCUACGGGUUGUAAACUUCUUUUAUAUAGGAAUAAAGUUAGGCACGUGUGCCUUUUUGUAUGUACUUUAUGAAUAAGGAUCGGCUAACUCCGUGCCAGCAGCCGCGGUAAUACGGAGGAUCCGAGCGUUAUCCGGAUUUAUUGGGUUUAAAGGGAGCGUAGAUGGGUUGUUAAGUCAGUUGUGAAAGUUUGCGGCUCAACCGUAAAAUUGCAAUUGAUACUGGGAGUCUUGAGUACAGUGGAGGUAGGCGGAAUGCGUGGUGUAGCGGUGAAAUGCUUAGAUAUCACGAAGAACUCCGAUUGCGAAGGCAGCUUACUAAACUGUAACUGACACUGAUGCUCGAAAGUGUGGGUAUCAAACAGGAUUAGAUACCCGAGUAGUC
Molecule: ribosomal RNA, 460 nt
Filed under: uncultured bacterium
Lineage: Bacteria
Description: partial 16S ribosomal RNA
Rfam family: Bacterial small subunit ribosomal RNA
Source: RNAcentral